RNAcentral lists this ribosomal RNA (200 nucleotides) under uncultured bacterium. RNAcentral's name for it is "partial 16S ribosomal RNA". It matches the Rfam family "Bacterial small subunit ribosomal RNA", at positions 524 to 723 of the family's 1533-position model. The record is from RNAcentral.
UACGUAGGGUGCAAGCGUUGUCCGGAAUUAUUGGGCGUAAAGAGCUCGUAGGCGGUCUGUCGCGUCGGCUGUGAAAUCCCGAGGCUCAACCUCGGGUCUGCAGUCGAUACGGGCAAACUAGAGUAUUGCAGGGGAGACUGGAAUUCCUGGUGUAGCGGUGAAAUGCGCAGAUAUCGGGAGGAACACCGGUGGCGAAGGCG